GACGAACGCUGGCGGCGUGCUUAACACAUGCAAGUCGAACGGUGACGCUGGAGCUUGCUCCAGCUGAUCAGUGGCGAACGGGUGAGUAACACGUGAGCAACCUGCCCUUGACUCUGGGAUAACCCCGGGAAACCGGAGCUAAUACCGGAUACGAGCCGCACAGGCAUCUGCGCGGUUGGAAAGUUUUUCGGUCAAGGAUGGGCUCGCGGCCUAUCAGCUUGUUGGUGGGGUAACGGCCCACCAAGGCGACGACGGGUAGCCGGCCUGAGAGGGCGACCGGCCACACUGGGACUGAGACACGGCCCAGACUCCUACGGGAGGCAGCAGUGGGGAAUAUUGCACAAUGGGCGAAAGCCUGAUGCAGCGACGCCGCGUGAGGGAUGAAGGCCUUCGGGUUGUAAACCUCUUUCAGCAGGGAAGAAGCGAAAGUGACGGUACCUGCAGAAGAAGCACCGGCUAACUACGUGCCAGCAGCCGCGGUAA
Molecule: ribosomal RNA, 483 nt
Filed under: uncultured bacterium
Lineage: Bacteria
Description: partial 16S ribosomal RNA
Rfam family: Bacterial small subunit ribosomal RNA
Source: RNAcentral